This 253-nucleotide ribosomal RNA is filed under the name uncultured bacterium. Its description in RNAcentral is "partial 16S ribosomal RNA". It matches the Rfam family "Bacterial small subunit ribosomal RNA", at positions 524 to 776 of the family's 1533-position model. The record is from RNAcentral.
UACGUAGGGUGCGAGCGUUGUCCGGAAUUAUUGGGCGUAAAGAGCUCGUAGGCGGUUUGUCGCGUCUGCUGUGAAAACUCGGGGCUUAACCCCGGGCCUGCAGUGGGUACGGGCAGACUAGAGUGCGGUAGGGGAGACUGGAAUUCCUGGUGUAGCAGUGAAAUGCGCAGAUAUCAGGAGGAACACCGGUGGCGAAGGCGGGUCUCUGGGCCGUAACUGACGCUGAGGAGCGAAAGCAUGGGGAGCGAACAGG